Molecule: ribosomal RNA, 274 nt
Filed under: uncultured bacterium
Lineage: Bacteria
Description: partial 16S ribosomal RNA
Rfam family: Archaeal small subunit ribosomal RNA
Source: RNAcentral
AAACCAGCACCUCAAGUGGUCAGGAGGAUUAUUGGGCCUAAAGCAUCCGUAGCCGGCUCUGUAAGUUUUCGGUUAAAUCUGUACGCUCAACGUACAGGCUGCUGGGAAUACUGCAGAGCUAGGGAGUGGGAGAGGUAGACGGUACUCGGUAGGAAGGGGUAAAAUCCUUUGAUCUAUUGAUGACCACCUGUGGCGAAGGCGGUCUACCAGAACACGUUCGACGGUGAGGGAUGAAAGCUGGGGGAGCAAACCGGAUUAGAAACCCGAGUAGUCC